Molecule: ribosomal RNA, 253 nt
Filed under: uncultured bacterium
Lineage: Bacteria
Description: partial 16S ribosomal RNA
Rfam family: Bacterial small subunit ribosomal RNA
Source: RNAcentral
UACGUAGGGGGCAAGCGUUGUCCGGAAUCAUUGGGCGUAAAGAGCGUGUAGGCGGCCAGAUAAGUCCGCUGUGAAAACUCGAGGCUCAACUUCGAGCUGUCGGUGGAAACUAUUUGGCUAGAGUCCGGAAGAGGAGAGUGGAAUUCCUGGUGUAGCGGUGAAAUGCGCAGAUAUCAGGAGGAACACCCAUUGCGAAGGCAGCUCGCUGGGACGGUACUGACGCUGAGGCGCGAAAGCGUGGGGAGCGAACAGG